Molecule: long non-coding RNA, 327 nt
Organism: Aphis gossypii (cotton aphid)
Lineage: Eukaryota; Metazoa; Arthropoda; Insecta; Hemiptera; Aphididae
Exons: 3
Source: RefSeq, a predicted model, not a curated record
GUCAAAUAAAUCAAAAAAUAAAAAACAAAACAAAACGGACCAACAACUGCAUUCGAAUUUGCAUCUGUAAUGUCUGUAUGCUGUCGCAACUCGCAGGAACCCCAUGUAUGUACAAAAACCAAUUAUGAUUUGACUUAAGUUGGAGUACAACAGCGUGUGUGAUACACGGAUUCGAUAAAAAAAAAAACCCAAAAACAAACAUCGUUAAUCGUCAAAAGAUUAUUGAGGGUAUGCGUUAAUAUAUUAUUGGUAUCAUACGGGUCGCCGUGGACGUUGUAUUAAAACAGUAUUUAUAUGUUGCUUACAACCGAGUACUCGUGAUUGCUG